RNAcentral lists this ribosomal RNA (498 nucleotides) under uncultured bacterium. RNAcentral describes it as "bacterial SSU rRNA". It matches the Rfam family "Bacterial small subunit ribosomal RNA", at positions 791 to 1296 of the family's 1533-position model. The record is from RNAcentral.
UAGUCCACGCCGUAAACGAUGAUUACUCGUUGUUGGCAAUACAUCGUCAGCGACUGAGCGAAAGCAUUAAGUAAUCCACCUGGGGAGUACGUUCGCAAGAAUGAAACUCAAAGGAAUUGACGGGGGCCCGCACAAGCGGAGGAACAUGUGGUUUAAUUCGAUGAUACGCGAGGAACCUUACCUGGGCUUAAAUGUAGAGCGACGGACUGGGAAACUGGUCUUUCUUCGGACGAUCUACAAGGUGCUGCAUGGCUGUCGUCAGCUCGUGCCGUGAGGUGUCGGGUUAAGUCCCAUAACGAGCGCAACCCUCAUCAUUAGUUGCCAGCGGGUAAUGCCGGGGACUCUAAUGAAACUGCCGGUGUAAACCGAGAGGAAGGUGGGGAUGACGUCAAGUCAGCACGGCCCUUAUGUCCAGGGCUACACACGUGUUACAAUGGUCGAUACAAAGGGCAGCUACCAUGCGAAUGGAUGCUAAUCUCCAAAUCGAUCUCAGUUCGG